CUGCGCAUGCGCAAAUAGCACACUUAAACAUUCACCCACUAAAUCAUAAUAAGCACAAUUCAUUUCAACGCAAAGGAGUAGGCCUCUAUUCUACACGUAUGAAGGCAACAGCAGUGAGUUUCCUGUUGUGUACCCCUUUCACCACCUGGGGGCAUCAUCACUCACCAUCACUACCAUCACGCAUCAGCGGCAGCACUUACCCACAGAGCUGCUGAAAAUCUUCUCUGUUCAGAGAAGACGUGGGGCAAGAAACGGCCACCAGAGGGAGCACACAUGCUAUGAAAAAUCAUGUAUAUCCAAUCUAGCAGUGCUCCUGAUGCGGUUAGAGGCUGUGACAAGUCUCUGGGCGGGGGAACCGAGCAGAGCGAGCAAACGGGGUGACGAAGAGGACACGACAUCUGGAGAACACGCAGAAGAAGAAUGCAGCAGUGAGAGACUGAACAUAGGACCUUCUUACCAAAGCUAAAGCCAUCUUUCUCAGCAAUAAACCAGGUCAACAAACAAAAAGCAAUUAUG
RNAcentral lists this long non-coding RNA (516 nucleotides) under Neogobius melanostomus (round goby). RNAcentral's name for it is "lncRNA (ENSNMLG00000012190.1)". The record is from RNAcentral. Lineage: Eukaryota; Metazoa; Chordata; Actinopteri; Gobiiformes; Gobiidae.